This 433-nucleotide ribosomal RNA is filed under the name uncultured bacterium. RNAcentral's name for it is "partial 16S ribosomal RNA". It matches the Rfam family "Bacterial small subunit ribosomal RNA", at positions 29 to 507 of the family's 1533-position model. The record is from RNAcentral.
AGCGAACGCUGGCGGCAGGCCUAACACAUGCAAGUCGAACGAACUCUUCGGAGUUAGUGGCGGACGGGUGAGUAACACGUGGGAACGUGCCUUUAGGUUCGGAAUAACUCAGGGAAACUUGAGCCAAUACCGGAUGUGCCCUUCGGGGGAAAGAUUUAUCGCCUUUAGAGCGGCCCGCGUCUGAUUAGCUAGUUGGUGAGGUAAAGGCUCACCAAGGCGACGAUCAGUAGCUGGUCUGAGAGGAUGAUCAGCCACAUUGGGACUGAGACACGGCCCAAACUCCUACGGGAGGCAGCAGUGGGGAAUCUUGCGCAAUGGGCGAAAGCCUGACGCAGCCAUGCCGCGUGAAUGAUGAAGGUCUUAGGAUUGUAAAAUUCUUUCACCGGGGACGAUAAUGACGGUACCCGGAGAAGAAGCCCCGGCUAACUUCGUG